UAUUUACAUUUCCUUUUUUUUCUUAUUCUUAUUCUUGCAAUAUAUCCGAGAUGAAAAAUGUUCUCUUACUUGCACAUAAAAAACUAUAAAUCGUAAUUUCUUCUUUAAAUAAAAUGCUCCGCAGGGCGCAGCUUGAUACGACCGGAGAGGUCGAACCCUGAACAGUUGGGGCAAGUAUGGACACAACAUUCAAGCUUGAUACAGCUCUGAAUUUGGAUUGUGAUUAAAUAUUUGACACAGCAUAGGUUUCUGACACAGAAUGAAUGUGGUCUAAGAACUUAAAAAUUUUAAAUUGGACAUUCACCUAUUAUGGUUCAAUAUCCAAAAUCUAAAUACAUGGUUAGAUUCAGCAUAUCAAAGAACCCCAUAUAUUCAAUUUUUGUUGAAAUCAAACAAAGUUUAAUUUUGGACCCCGAUUUGGACCAACUUGAAAACUGGGCCCAUAAUCAAAAAUCUAAACACAUGUUUAGAUUCAGCAUAUCAAAGAACCCUAAAAAUUCAAUUUUUGUUAAAAUCAAACUAAGUUUAAUUUUGGACCCUUUGGACCUUCAUGUAGACCAAUUUGAAAACAGAACCAAAAAUUCAGAAUCUAAAUACACGGUUAGAUUCGGCAUAUCAAAGAACCCCAAUAAUUCAAUUUUUGAUGAAAUCAAACAAAGUUUAAUUUUGGACCCUUUGGACCUCAAUGUGGACCAAUUUAAAAACGGGGCCCAAAAUCCAAAAACUUAAUACACGGUUAGAUUCAGCAUAUGAAAGAACCCCAUAUAUUCAAUUUUUGUUGAAAUCAAACAAAGUUUAAUUUUGGACCCCGAUUUGGACCAACUUGAAAACUGGGCCCAUAAUCAAAAAUCUAAAUACAUGGUUAGAUUCAGCAUAUCAAAGAACCCCAUAUAUUCAAUUUUUGUUGAAAUCAAACUAAGUUUAAUUUUGGACCCUUUGGACCUUUAUGUAGACCAAUUUGAAAACGGAACCAAAAAUUCAGAAUCUAAAUACACGGUUAGAUUCGGCAUAUCAAAGAACCCCAAUAAUUCAAUUUUUGAUGAAAUCAAACAAAGUUUAAUUUUGGACCCUUUGGACCUCAAUGAGGACCAAUUUAAAAAUGGGGCCCAAAAUCCAAAAACUUAAUACACGGUUAGAUUCAGCAUAUGAAAGAACCCCAUAUAUUCAAUUUUUGUUGAAAUCAAACAAAGUUUAAUUUUGGACCCCGAUUUGGACCAACUUGAAAACUGGGCCCAUAAUCAAAAAUCUAAAUACAUGGUUAGAUUCAGCAUAUCAAAGAACCCCAUAUAUUCAAUUUUUGUUGAAAUCAAAUAAAGUUUAAUUUUGGACCCCGAUUUGGACCAACUUGAAAACUGGGCCCAUAAUCAAAAAUCUAAAUACAUGGUUAGAUUCAGCAUAUCAAAGAACCCCAUAUAUUCAAUUUUUGUUGAAAUCAAACUAAGUUUAAUUUUGGACCCUUUGGACCUUUAUGUAGACCAAUUUGAAAACGGAACCAAAAAUUAAGAAUCUAAAUACACGGUUAGAUUCGGCAUAUCAAAGAACCCCAAUAAUUCAAUUUUUGAUGAAAUCAAACAAAGUUAAAUUUUGGACCCUUUGGACCUCAAUGUGGACCAAUUUAAAAACGGGGCCCAAAAUCCAAAAACUUAAUACAUGGUCAGAUUCAGCAUAUUAAAGAACCCCAAGAAUUCAAGAAUAAAACCCCAUUGAAAUUGAUCAAGAAAUAAGCAAUUUAUACGAAGUAUAUUCUUUUGCACAAUACUGUGCAAUUGAAUAUUUCUUGCUAUUGCGCAAUACUGUACAAUUGACAAUUUCUUGCUAUUGCGCAAUAUUGUGCUUUUGGAUAUUUCUUGCUAUUGCGCAAUACUGUGCAAUUGAAGAUUUCUUGCUAUUGUGCAAUACUGUGCAAUUGAAGAUUUCUUGCUAUUGUGCAAUACUGUGCAAUUGAAAAUUUCUUGCUAUUGCACAAUACUUAUUGUAUAAUAAUUUACACAUCCUGUUUGGUGUGUAUCUCCUUCCAUAUCAUUAUUAUUUGCUUUUAAAUAUAAAUCAGAAAUAACCAACUUAAAAUGGAAAAUUUUAAAAGAAAAAAAAAAGGAAAAAAAGAAAAAAAUAGAAACCCCCCCCCCCCCAAA
Mytilus californianus (California mussel) is the source of this 2132-nucleotide long non-coding RNA. RefSeq lists it as uncharacterized. The transcript is spliced from 2 exons. The record is from RefSeq and is a predicted model, not a curated record. NCBI's taxonomy places the organism in Eukaryota, Metazoa, Mollusca, Bivalvia, Mytilida, Mytilidae.